RNAcentral lists this small nuclear RNA (183 nucleotides) under Cicer arietinum (chickpea). RNAcentral describes it as "U2 spliceosomal RNA". It matches the Rfam family "U2 spliceosomal RNA". From Rfam's summary of the family: U2 is a small nuclear RNA (snRNA) component of the spliceosome (involved in pre-mRNA splicing). The record is from Rfam by way of RNAcentral. Lineage: Eukaryota; Viridiplantae; Streptophyta; Magnoliopsida; Fabales; Fabaceae.
AUACCUUUCUCGGCCUUUUGGCUAAGAUCAAGUGUAGUAUUUGUUCUUAUCAUUUUAAUAUCUGAUAUGUGGGCCAAUGGUUCACACGAUAUAAAAUUUAUUUCUUGAGGGGGAGAGUUCAUUACAAUAGCUUGUUAUUCACUACGCAAAAAAAAACUAUUUUACAACCCUUUUUUAAGCCAU